This is a long non-coding RNA of Apteryx rowi (Okarito brown kiwi), 1695 nucleotides long. Lineage: Eukaryota; Metazoa; Chordata; Aves; Apterygiformes; Apterygidae. The record is from Ensembl.
UUUGCAGACAGCCUAGAGCUUACCUGUCUUUUUGCCUUAUUUUUAGACGUUCGCUCCAGGUGUAAAGUGAAUUCACCAGAAUGGCAUCAAUGCGUCAGAGACAAAAUGAGGAUCUCAAUCGUUGUCACUUGCGGAGGAUCGGAUGCAAACCUACCGUCGCUGGUAUUGCUGACCUUAUUCACUUUUAUAAGGGCGUUACGCUGUUUGGCAGAAGCAAAGAUGUUGUGGACUACUACAUUAGCUCUCCAGGCGAAACGAAAGAUUGCAUAUCCCGGCACCAUGCCAGAGUGAUUCGAACCGCUGAUACUUAUGAGCUCGUGGAUUCCAGCCUGACAGGCGUUUACGUUAAUGACAUCAAAAUUGGUGGUAAAGUUAUCUUGCAGAAAGGUGAUACUGUUAUAUUUGGGCAUCCCACAGAAAGAUACCUAAAGCCUGGAACGCAAGUUCGUCAGCCGAACUCACAGCUCUGCUUUCUGGUUCCAUUACCCCUGUUAACAUCUCCAAAGGUUCCUCAGUUCAGCUCAAACUUGGCGUUUGAGAAAAGCAUUAGUCUUCCUGCUCGACCCCCACCAAUACGGACACCCCAAGAUGUUCCACGUACUGUUGGAGCUCCGUCUGAGUCUAGUGGUGAAAUUCCUAAUGAUCUUCAGCUGCAGGAUAAUGGCUGCAUAGAGGAAAAGGGGUCUUUGAGAGAAGAUCAGUCACUUUUAUCUGCUGCUGAAAAAGAAAACACGGACACCARCCAAAGUCUGAAAGCAUGUGAAAUCUCUGUGAUCUGUUCUGUGGAUUCCACAUUUGAUAAUGGCAGUGAUGAAAGGUUGAACGCUGCUGAUGGCCAGGAGCAGAGGGCUGCUUGCUCAUCAGAGGAUGAUGUGCUUUYGGAAGAAAAACAUGAUGAUCUCUCAGGCAGUAUUGAGGGGAAAUCUUAUCAAGAGACAAAGGAAGAUACUGUUGAAAGCAAAAMUAUCACAAGAAUAACAGGAGAGAGAAGGGCUUCAAGACCAACUAGAAAUGAUAGUAUGUUGGAGCAACAGARCGACCAAGAAAAUGAAGACUUAGCUAGGGACUGGGGAAAUGCAGYUAUUCGACAGACKCAUUGUAAUUUUGGCAGUACUAGAGCUGCACUUGCGAAGAGGCCAGAGCAGAAUACAGACUGCUGCUCCUCUGACUCGGUUUCCUUUCCCUCCAGCCUUGUGCCCGUAGGCUCACCCAAAUGCACAUGGUGUGAGGGUAACAGUUGUUCCUGUUCGCACACAGAGCCCUCUUGCCCUGUGGAUGAAAGCRGAGUAGGAAGUGGUCUGCGGUAUGCACAUGCCUGCUCCUUGGCCCAGCUCUGCUCUAAGAGUGAAGGAGGGGACGGUGGUGAGGAAGGAUCUGAACCAGCACAUCAUGAGCAGUGUGUUAAAUCAGUAGUGGAAAAGGGAAAGGAGGAACCUGCACAUGUUGUUGCAGAUUUUAGUGAGCCCGAUGAGAGGAAACAGAGUAGUUCCCAGRGUUGUGACUGGAAGUCUCCUGUUAGCUCUGUCUGCUCAGAAUUACAGGAGGAAUCAGUUGAGCUUGAAGACCAGCAGGAAUCUGAUUCUUGUGCAGUUGAACCUCCAAAUUUGGAAGGAAAUGUGGAUUUGAAAUCCAAAGAAGAUUUUGUGAAACUGUCUCUUUAUCCAGAAGACAGUGGUGUGGAGGAUGCUGUUUUGG